RNAcentral lists this ribosomal RNA (479 nucleotides) under uncultured bacterium. RNAcentral describes it as "partial 16S ribosomal RNA". It matches the Rfam family "Bacterial small subunit ribosomal RNA", at positions 28 to 507 of the family's 1533-position model. The record is from RNAcentral.
GAUGAACGCUGGCGGCGUGCUUAACACAUGCAAGUCGAGCGAGAAGUUUUGAAAAGAUUCUUCGGAUGAAAUUUAAAAUGGAAAGCGGCGGACGGGUGAGUAACGCGUAGGCAACCUGCCCCAUACAAAGGGAUAGCAUUUGGAAACGAAUAUUAAUACCUUAUGAAACUUAACUAGUGCAUGCUAGGUAGGCCAAAGAUUUAUCGGUAUGGGAUGGGCCUGCGUCUGAUUAGCUAGUUGGUGAGGUAACGGCUCACCAAGGCGACGAUCAGUAGCCGACCUGAGAGGGUGAACGGCCACAUUGGAACUGAGACACGGUCCAAACUCCUACGGGAGGCAGCAGUGGGGAAUAUUGCACAAUGGGGGAAACCCUGAUGCAGCAACGCCGCGUGAACGAUGAAGGCCUUUGGGUCGUAAAGUUCUGUUCUAGGUGAUGAAAACUGACAGUAACCUAGGAGAAAGCCCCGGCUAACUCCGUG